AUAUUCCAUUAUAUCCUCUUUCACAUUAGAGCCACAACAGGACCCACUAGAACAUGGGAACAAGUAAAAGUGAAAUAUAAGAAUAUUCUACAGAAUGCAACCAAGAAAAGGGCAGAGCAAAUAAAGACAGGUGGUGGUCCUGCACCCCUCGUGUGUAUGUGUAUAUAUGAGGAAGGACAGGAAGGAUCCUGUCUAUCCCGCAAUAUACGCUGAAUUCUGGAAACUCUCCUUAUCAAUCUUGCACCUUCCGCAAUGGGUUGCUCGCGUACAAACGGACAGGACAUGGCUGCGACAGACUUCCCAAAUCCACCUUCGCUUUUAUAGCCGUGGUCUCUCAUCUUGAUUACACGAAGUAAUUUACUAUUACUACUCUAAAAUAUGAAUUACAUCUGAAAUAAUCAAAUACAUGUAAUAGAAUGAUUACUAGUACAUUUCCCUUUUUUUAGGAAAUGACCUGUAUGUAUCUGUAUGCAAUCAAUAAAAGAAUCAAAUACUGCAUUAUCUUUAGUUACAUUGAUAAUAUUUAUUUAUGGAGAAACAGUGGAGAAAUAUCGCUGUUGCUUUCGUAUAAAUGAAGCGGACAUACCUGAGUGGCCGCGAUCUAAUCCUGUUUACAUAAAGUAAGCCUGCUCCCGAGCAGGUUUACGCUUACGGAUCUGUUGCUAUGACAGCAAGUCCCGGAUGGGCUUCGGAGAACCGAACGAUCCAAGAUCACGCGAAAUCGUCAACAAUCAAAUCCAGC
This is a long non-coding RNA of Oreochromis aureus, 742 nucleotides long. The record is from Ensembl. NCBI's taxonomy places the organism in Eukaryota, Metazoa, Chordata, Actinopteri, Cichliformes, Cichlidae.